RNAcentral lists this ribosomal RNA (252 nucleotides) under uncultured bacterium. RNAcentral describes it as "partial 16S ribosomal RNA". It matches the Rfam family "Bacterial small subunit ribosomal RNA", at positions 524 to 776 of the family's 1533-position model. The record is from RNAcentral.
UACGGAGGAUGCGAGCGUUAUCCGGAUUUAUUGGGUUUAAAGGGUGCGUAGGCGGAUUUUCAAGUCAGCGGUAAAAUGUCCGGGCUCAACCCGGGCCGGCCGUUGAAACUGGGGAUCUUGAGUGGGCGAGAAGUAUGCGGAAUGCGUGGUGUAGCGGUGAAAUGCAUAGAUAUCACGCAGAACUCCGAUUGCGAAGGCAGCAUACCGGCGCCCGACUGACGCUGAGGCACGAAAGCGUGGGGAUCGAACAGG